Molecule: ribosomal RNA, 401 nt
Filed under: uncultured bacterium
Lineage: Bacteria
Description: bacterial SSU rRNA
Rfam family: Bacterial small subunit ribosomal RNA
Source: RNAcentral
GGGGAAUAUUGCGCAAUGGGGGAAACCCUGACGCAGCAACGCCGCGUGGAGGAAGAAGGUCUUCGGAUUGUAAACUCCUGUCUUCUGGGACGAUAAUGACGGUACCAGAGGAGGAAGCCACGGCUAACUACGUGCCAGCAGCCGCGGUAAUACGUAGGUGGCGAGCGUUGUCCGGAAUUACUGGGCGUAAAGGGCGCGUAGGCGGCUCUUUAAGUCAGAUGUGAAAACCCAGGGCUUAACUUUGGGACUGCAUUUGAAACUGAAGGGCUUGAGUGCAGGAGAGGUAAGUGGAAUUCCUAGUGUAGCGGUGGAAUGCGUAGAUAUUAGGAGGAACACCAGUGGCGAAGGCGACUUACUGGACUGUAACUGACGCUGAGGCGCGAAAGCGUGGGGAGCAAACA